AAUAGAUACCCAGGUAGUCCACGCCGUAAACGAUGGAUACUAGCUGUUCGUCCGCCUCGGCGGAUGAGUGGCUAAGCGAAAGUGAUAAGUAUCCCACCUGGGGAGUACGAACGCAAGUUUGAAACUCAAAGGAAUUGACGGGGGCCCGCACAAGCGGUGGAGCAUGUGGUUUAAUUCGAUGAUACGCGAGGAACCUUACCAAGGCUUAAAUGUAGAUUGACAGGACAGGAAACAGUUUUUUCUUCGGACAAUUUACAAGGUGCUGCAUGGUUGUCGUCAGCUCGUGCCGUGAGGUGUCAGGUUAAGUCCUAUAACGAGCGCAACCCCUGUUGUUAGUUGCCGGCGAGUCAAGUCGGGAACUCUAACAAGACUGCCAGUGUAAACUGUGAGGAAGGUGGGGAUGACGUCAAAUCAUCACGGCCCUUACGCCUUGGGCUACACACGUGCUACAAUGGCCGGUACAGAGAGCAGCCACCGCGCGAGCAGGAGCGAAUCUAUAAAACCGGUCACAGUUCGGAUCGGAGUCUGCAACUCGAC
This 537-nucleotide ribosomal RNA is filed under the name uncultured bacterium. Its description in RNAcentral is "bacterial SSU rRNA". It matches the Rfam family "Bacterial small subunit ribosomal RNA", at positions 777 to 1316 of the family's 1533-position model. The record is from RNAcentral.